This is a long non-coding RNA of Helianthus annuus (common sunflower), 1060 nucleotides long. RefSeq lists it as uncharacterized. Lineage: Eukaryota; Viridiplantae; Streptophyta; Magnoliopsida; Asterales; Asteraceae. The transcript is spliced from 2 exons. The record is from RefSeq and is a predicted model, not a curated record.
UAAUCCAAUUAACAACCCACUAUCCUUUUUAUAACCCUUUUGAAAACGUCUGACAGAUAAGAAAACACCAACACCUAAUCACGUGAUGGUAUCUUCUAUGAUAAACCUUCUGGCGGAUCCUGUUCUCCGUUCACUGACCACUUUUAGACGUCCCUUUAUUCAACCGACAACAGAUGCAACAACAGCCUCCACGCUCAAUCUGUCUCCUUCUCUGUCUUCAGUUAAAAACGACGCAAGUUCCGAUUCCGGCCGGCGUCUAGCUUGGUUCAAGAUCGGUUUGCGCAGGACAAUCAGCAGUUCAGAGAACUGCUUCCAACCUACUUUCGAUCGGACGACAGGACAAUCAACAGUUUCUAGAACCGUUUCCAACCUGCCGAUCCUUGAACUCAAACUUCCGGCGAAAUCACCUUCAACCCUAUGCUCGAUCGUAGGUGAGUUAGUUCCCAGAGUGACGUUGCCCCGUGGUUUUAAACAAAAAUACAAAGUGGCCCUCAACCGAAUCCAUGUGACUACGCCAGUGCGGACCAGAAAGGAAAUUGCCAGCGUGAACCAGAAACGGCCGGGUAAAUGAGAUCUUGCCGGCGACGAACCAGUAACGAUCGAAGUGUACGAACCCAGGUUGGAUUAUGAACUGGGAUUUCAUUAUUUUUGUGUCAAUCGGAAUCCACGACCACCGGUGUUGAUUUUGUUUUGGGGUUUCUACUGAGGAGAGAGAAAGAAAAGGUAGGAUGAAGGAGAGGAGAGAGAAAAGGGUGGUGUCAUUGGUUGACGGUGGCGGCGUGGCGUGAUGGUUGCUCCGACGAUCAGUGGGUUGAGAGAGAGAGAGGGAGACCCUGUGGUGGUGCCAGUGGAGUAAAUAUAAAAUGAAAGGAGCCAUUAAUGAAGGUUAUUUGCUUUUCUCAGUGGUAUUGCUUUUCUCAUCGUCUAUUCUACUCAACAUAAAUCAUUUGAUUUUUACCUUUUCUGUUCUUGAUGUAAGCAAAAUUUAAUCGUUUACUUGAAUAUUUGAACAAUAGAGUUAUUUUGUAUUUAUUAUUUUAGUGAUAUGGUUAAAUGUAAA